GAAGGUGGCCUGUGAGGGUUGCUGGAGGUAUCAGAAGUGCGAAUGCUGACAUAAGUAACGAUAAAGCGGGUGAAAAGCCCGCUCGCCGGAAGACCAAGGGUUCCUGUCCAACGUUAAUCGGGGCAGGGUGAGUCGACCCCUAAGGCGAGGCCGAAAGGCGUAGUCGAUGGGAAACGGGUUAAUAUUCCCGUACUUGGUGUUACUGCGAAGGGGGGACGGAGAAGGCUAUGUUGGCCGGGCGACGGUUGUCCCGGUUUAAGCGUGUAGGUGUGUGUUCCAGGUAAAUCCGGUUCACUUUAACACUGAGGCGUGAUGACGAGGCACUACGGUGCUGAAGCAACAAAUGCCCUGCUUCCAGGAAAAGCCUCUAAGCAUCAGGUAACAUCAAAUCGUACCCCAAACCGACACAGGUGGUCAGGUAGAGAAUACCAAGGCGCUUGAGAGAACUCGGGUGAAGGAACUAGGCAAAAUGGUGCCGUAACUUCGGGAGAAGGCACGCUGACACGUAGGUGAAGUGAUUUACUCAUGGAGCUGAAGUCAGUCGAAGAUACCAGCUGGCUGCAACUGUUUAUUAAAAACACAGCACUGUGCAAACACGAAAGUGGACGUAUACGGUGUGACGCCUGCCCGGUGCCGGAAGGUUAAUUGAUGGGGUCAGCGCAAGCGAAGCUCCUGAUCGAAGCCCCGGUAAACGGCGGCCGUAACUAUAACGGUCCUAAGGUAGCGAAAUUCCUUGUCGGGUAAGUUCCGACCUGCACGAAUGGCGUAAUGAUGGCCAGGCUGUCUCCACCCGAGACUCAGUGAAAUUGAACUCGCUGUGAAGAUGCAGUGUACCCGCGGCAAGACGGAAAGACCCCGUGAACCUUUACUAUAGCUUGACACUGAACAUUGAGCCUUGAUGUGUAGGAUAGGUGGGAGGCUUUGAAGUGUGGACGCCAGUCUGCAUGGAGCCGACCUUGAAAUACCACCCUUUAAUGUUUGAUGUUCUAACGUGGACCCGUGAUCCGGGUUGCGGACAGUGUCUGGUGGGUAGUUUGACUGGGGCGGUCUCCUCCUAAAGAGUAACGGAGGAGCACGAAGGUUGGCUAAUCCUGGUCGGACAUCAGGAGGUUAGUGCAAUGGCAUAAGC
This 1129-nucleotide ribosomal RNA is filed under the name Salmonella enterica subsp. enterica. RNAcentral describes it as "bacterial LSU rRNA". It matches the Rfam family "Bacterial large subunit ribosomal RNA", at positions 1252 to 2364 of the family's 2925-position model. Lineage: Bacteria; Pseudomonadati; Pseudomonadota; Gammaproteobacteria; Enterobacterales; Enterobacteriaceae. The record is from RNAcentral.